UCGGCGUAAAGGGUGGUUAAGAAUAAGAUUAAAAUUAAAGCCGAACAUCUUUAGUAGCUGUUAUACGCUUUCAAAGACAAGAAGCCCAACUGCGAAAGUAGCUUUAUAUUUUCUGAACCCACGAAAGCUAAGGUACAAACUGGGAUUAGAUACCCCACUAUGCUUAGCCGUAAACAUCGACAGUUUAUUACAUUUUCUGUCCGCCUGGGUACUACAAGCAUUAGCUCAAAACCCAAAGGACUUGGCGGUGCUUUAGACCCACCUAGAGGAGCCUGUUCUAGAACCGAUAUUCCCCGUUCAACCUCACCUCUCCUUGCCUCUCAGCCUAUAUACCGCCGUCGUUCAGCUUACCCUGUGAAGGGCAAAAAGUAAGCAAAAUUGGCACUGCCCAGUACGUCAGGUCGAGGUGUAGUCAAUGGAGUGGGAAGAAAUGGGCUACAUUCCCUUGUCUUCAGGGAACUACGAAUGGUGCACUGAAAAUGUGUGCCUGAAGGAGGAUUUAGCAGUAAGUAGUAAUUUAGAAUAUUCUACUGAAGCCGGCUCUUAAGCGCGCACACACCGCCCGUCACUCUCCCCGAGACUUUAAAUUCACAUUAACUAAAAUAUUAAAUAUCAUAGAGGGGAGGCAAGUCGUAA
This 636-nucleotide ribosomal RNA is filed under the name Acanthopagrus bifasciatus (twobar seabream). Its description in RNAcentral is "partial 12S ribosomal RNA". It matches the Rfam family "Bacterial small subunit ribosomal RNA", at positions 555 to 1491 of the family's 1533-position model. The record is from RNAcentral. Lineage: Eukaryota; Metazoa; Chordata; Actinopteri; Spariformes; Sparidae.